UAUUUUGUACAUCUGUUAUUUUCAUUUCACUAACGGGGUCGAUAGAUGCAGUGAGUAGUGAGGCGGAACGUUUGUGUUCGAUUCAAUGGUUCCGGGGUACCGAUUAAAGCGACGGACGUUCCCGGGGUUUCCUCAGAAGUAAUCUGGAAGGAAACUGAACACAACGUGUCCUCAUUACUUCUGUUUCACCUGCACCAUACAGGUUGGUAAACUGUGCAUAAAUCACAAUGAAUCCCCCAUAAGGUUUGCGAAGAUAAUAUGUAACGGCCCGCUAACAGUUAGAAGACUUUGUACCGCUGUUUACAUGUGUAAAACCGUUAAAUGGUGUGAGUGUAUUAGCCUAGCUUCCCCGGUACGGCGCCAUUUUGGGGACAACGUGGUCUGACGCAGUAAGGAUACAAGUUUGUCAGUAUAUCUGAAGCCUCCCGUACACUGA
This is a long non-coding RNA of Trematomus bernacchii (emerald rockcod), 436 nucleotides long. RefSeq lists it as uncharacterized. The transcript is spliced from 3 exons. The record is from RefSeq and is a predicted model, not a curated record. NCBI's taxonomy places the organism in Eukaryota, Metazoa, Chordata, Actinopteri, Perciformes, Nototheniidae.